This 856-nucleotide ribosomal RNA is filed under the name uncultured bacterium. RNAcentral's name for it is "bacterial SSU rRNA". It matches the Rfam family "Bacterial small subunit ribosomal RNA", at positions 9 to 855 of the family's 1533-position model. The record is from RNAcentral.
GAGUUUGAUCCUGGGCCUCAGGGAUGAAUGUUGGCGGUGUGCCUGAAGAUAUGCAAGUCGAACGUCUUUUUUCCGCAAGGAAAAAGGUAGUGGCGGACGGCUGAGUAACACAUAGGGACUUACCCCUUUUUGAAGGAUAGCCCAUCGAAAGGUGGGAUAAUACUUCAUGGCAUGGAUACCGUAAGGUAUUUGUUAAAGAGAUUAACUUCUCGAAAAGGGAUGGACCUGUGGCUUAUCAGAUAGUUGGUGGGGUAACGGCCUACCAAGUCUACGACGAGUAGCUGGCCUGAGAAGGUGGUCAGCCAGAGGGGGACUGAGACACGGCCCCCACUCCUACGGGAGGCAGCAAUCAGGAAUAGUCGGCAAUGGACGAAAGUCUGACCGCGCGACACCGCGUGUAGGAAUAAGCUCUAACGAGCGUAAACUACUGUGAUAGAGGAAAAAGUCCCGCCUAUGGCGGGAUUGAUGGUACUCUAUAAGAAAGGGGCCGCUAACUGCGUGCCAGAAGCGUCGGUAAUACGUGGGCCCCAAACAUUAUCCGGUUUUACUGGGUGUAAAAAGUAGUGUAGGUGUUUCGCCAAGUUUCAUUUCAAAUACUGCGGCUCAACCGUAGGAAGGGGUGGAAAACUGGCGAAAUAGAGUUUGCUUUAGAGAAACUGGAACUCAGGGAGGAGUAGUGAAAUGCGUUGAUACCCUGGGGAACACCAGUGGCGAAGGCGAGUUUCUGAAAGCAGACUGACACUGAGACACGAAAGCUAGGGGAGCGAAGCAGAUUAGAGACCUGCGUAGUCCUAGCCCUAAACGUAUGCUUGCUAGCCGCAUUCUUCUAUCCGCAAGGAUUGAGGGGUGUAGCGAA